RNAcentral lists this small RNA (143 nucleotides) under Pongo abelii (Sumatran orangutan). Its description in RNAcentral is "processed transcript". Lineage: Eukaryota; Metazoa; Chordata; Mammalia; Primates; Hominidae. The record is from RNAcentral.
GUGGUUUGCCAUCUGGCCGGGUGCGCGCUCAGGUCUGGCUCCCCUUUCGAGAGGUGAAUUUACAACCCAAGAAGCAUUACUCAGCAGGGAGGGAGAGUCCCGUAUUCUCAGAGUAAAAGUUGUUUCUGGAAUUGAUCUCGCCA